RNAcentral lists this ribosomal RNA (253 nucleotides) under uncultured bacterium. RNAcentral describes it as "partial 16S ribosomal RNA". It matches the Rfam family "Bacterial small subunit ribosomal RNA", at positions 524 to 776 of the family's 1533-position model. The record is from RNAcentral.
UACGUAGGUGGCAAGCGUUGUCCGGAUUUAUUGGGUUUAAAGGGUGCGUAGGCGGUUGUAUAAGUCAGUGCUGAAAUAUCCCAGCUUAACUGGGAGGGUGGCAUUGAUACUGUAUGACUUGAGUAGAGUUGAGGUUGGCGGAAUUGACGGUGUAGCGGUGAAAUGCGUAGAGAUCCGGAAGAACACCGGUGGCGAAGGCGGCUAUCUGGACGGUUUCUGACGCUAAGACGCGAAAGCGUGGGGAGCAAACAGG